This 505-nucleotide ribosomal RNA is filed under the name uncultured bacterium. RNAcentral's name for it is "bacterial SSU rRNA". It matches the Rfam family "Bacterial small subunit ribosomal RNA", at positions 29 to 529 of the family's 1533-position model. The record is from RNAcentral.
AUUGAACGCUGGCGGCAUGCCUAACACAUGCAAGUCGAACGGUAACGCGGGGGCAACCCUGGCGACGAGUGGUGGACGGGUGAGUAAUACGUAGGAAUCUGCCCAUUUGUGGGGGAUAACCCGGCGAAAGCCGGGCUAAUACCGCAUACGCUCUACGGAGGAAAGCGGGGGAUCGCAAGACCUCGCGCUAAUGGAUGAGCCUACGUCGGAUUAGCUAGUUGGUAGGGUAAUGGCCUACCAAGGCGACGAUCCGUAGCUGGUCUGAGAGGACGAUCAGCCACACUGGGACUGAGACACGGCCCAGACUCCUACGGGAGGCAGCAGUGGGGAAUAUUGGACAAUGGGGGCAACCCUGAUCCAGCAAUGCCGCGUGUGUGAAGAAGGCCUGCGGGUUGUAAAGCACUUUCAGAGGGGAAGAAAAAGUCGAAGCUAACACCUUCGAUCUUGACGUUACCCUUAGAAGAAGCACCGGCUAACUCCGUGCCAGCAGCCGCGGUAAUACGGA